Mustela putorius furo (domestic ferret) is the source of this 104-nucleotide small nuclear RNA. Lineage: Eukaryota; Metazoa; Chordata; Mammalia; Carnivora; Mustelidae. The record is from Ensembl.
GUGCUCACUUUGGCAGCAUAUAUAACAAAAACUGGAAGGAUACAGAGAUUAGAGUGGCCCCUUGCAAGGAUGACAUACAAAUUCAUGAAGCAUUUCAUAGUUAU